CCAGAACCUGGAAGUCACUAGUACAGAGCUACUAACAAAACGAGUACAAGUCCCCAAAAGUGGACCAUAGAGACUAGACUGUCUCGAAAGGUAAAAGACAAGUCUAUAUACACAGGUGCUCAGACCUGCAUCACGAAACAGAUGCAGAGCGUAGGAUGAGUACCAAAAUAACAGGUACCCAGUAGGCAUCAUAGGCCGACUGAACUUAGAAAGUAAAGACAAUAUGAAAAGAAGGAAUAACUCAAACUGAAGUCAAGAACGAAAAUCUAACUAACAAUGGAAUGCACACGAGUGUAGAAAGAACUAACUAAAGUAAUCUAUAAGCUAACUACACCUAACUGGACCCCCAUAAGCCCAGAAGGUACACUCGUGCGCAAGUUAAAUAAAAACCCGAACGGACCCCCAUAAGCCCGACGAGUACACAUAACAACUAUAACUAAAGGGAAUUGCAUAUAAGAACCCAAGAACGAAGAACAUCGAACCAGAACCUCAACCUCAAUUAGUAGAAUCUAACAGUACAGAGGCCGGACCUCGAACCGGAUGCUCACUAGAAGUACCCAAGUAACCAAUCAAAAGUAUCAAGUAUUUGAGGCCGGAACUCUAACCCGAUGCUUUGUAUAGGUUUCUGGGCAAUAGAGGCCGGAACUCUAACCGGAUGCUCUGUAUAGGUUUCUGGGCAAUAAAGGCCGGAACUCUAACCGGAUGCUCUAUAUAAGUAUCAACAUAGCUGUUGAAAGAGUCCCAAUCGAUCCAUACUCAGAAAUGUCCGUGGAACGCCGUCCAUACUUAUCCAUAUAAGUAUCUGGGCAAUAGAGGCCGGACCUUAAACCGGAUGCUCUAUAUAAGUAUCUGACCAAUAGAGGCCGGAACUCUAACCGGAUGCUCUAUAAAGGUGCCAACAUAGCUGUUGAAAGAGUCCCAAUCGAUCCAUACUCAGAAAUAUGUGGAACGCCGUCCACACUUAGCCAAUCAAUGUAAGUCCUUGGAACUGAAUCGAAAAUCAAAUUUAAAUCACGAAGCAGAACUAGCGUCGCCGACUUAACUCGUGAAGCCGUAACAUUGGGGAAAUAAGGAUAACUAUCGUCGGAGCAAGCGUAUCACCUAGAUAAGGCCCAAACUAUCAGACUUAAGUCUGCUACACCAGUCUACAGGGAUCUAAGCCGGCUGAGCGACGUCGGGGCAAAACUAAGGCCUAUCAUAUCAGAAUCAUGUAUUUCUAAGGCAAGCCCUAGUCAAACCUAAACUAAGGCCCAAUAAGCUUCAAGUAAAUAGUAAUUAAGCAUGCAAGCACUCCACAUAUCAAGGAGGGUCGAUUAAUAACACAAAGCAUGCUCACAGUUACCCGAUAAUUCUCGAAAUAGGCCGAAAACAUGAUUUCUAAACACCGAUGCAUGAUUCAAUAACUACCCAACCCAAAUCCCAACUAAUCAACAUGCAUUCACACUCUUAAGCUCAAUCUAAGAGAGGGAAACCGUAGCCUACCUGUAGGCCAAUCACACGCGCUCCAAAAUCACUUCUCCGGAGCUUUCGCUUUCCGAACGGCCUCGAAAUGCUGCCCCGCUAUCAAAAAUAGAGUCACAUCGUUAUUACGAUCGUUUAGACACCGAAAUCACAAGAAACAGAGAUGAGUCAAUUUUGGAGUCAAAACGAAGAUCGUGGGACCCGCACCGAACUAUUCGAAUUUGACUACGUCAAGUGACCCAAAACAGCACCCCAAACUUGUGUUCCAAAAUGGAACACAAUUCGGGGCUCAAAACGCAGCAAAAACCAACAAGCAAGAAAAUCACACUUUAAUCAACUAAAAAAGAAAACAGCAACAGUCUAAACUCGAAAUUAAUGAGAAUUAAAAAGUCUCCAGCACUCCUUGAACACUCUACGAUGAAGCCACAACAAUUUCCAACACGUGGGACUUCGAAUCACCCAAAACCGAGCUAAAAUGAGUGAGAUAUGACCAAAACAAGAUGCCAAAAAUAAAAGCUCGAAAAAGUACUGCAGUCAGAUUAUCGUGAAAUUUACCUCGAACUACGCGUACCUGACAACUUCCAAA
This 2047-nucleotide long non-coding RNA is filed under the name Solanum tuberosum (potato). RNAcentral describes it as "long non-coding RNA (STUB_LNC010162)". Lineage: Eukaryota; Viridiplantae; Streptophyta; Magnoliopsida; Solanales; Solanaceae. The record is from RNAcentral.